UCUGCAAGUAGCGUGGCAGACGGGUGAGUAACACGUGGGCAACCUGCCCGGAGGUGGGGGAUAACCUUCCGAAAGGAAGGCUAAUACCGCAUAACAUCACGAUCUCCUCGGGGAACGUGCUCAAAGCAGGCCUCUGUUUCAUGCUUGCGCCACCGGAGGGGCCCGCGCCCCAUUAGCUUGUUGGUGAGGUAACGGCUCACCAAGGCCACGAUGGGUAGCCGGCCUGAGAGGGCGAUCGGCCACACUGGAACUGAGACACGGUCCAGACUCCUACGGGAGGCAGCAGUGAGGAAUUUUGCGCAAUGGGCGAAAGCCUGACGCAGCGACGCCGCGUGGAGGAUGAAGGCCCUCGGGUCGUAAACUCCUGUCAAGAGGGACGAAGGAUGCAGAGGUUAAUACCCUUUGCGUUUGACGGUACCUCUGGAGGAAGCCCCGGCUAACUCCGUGCCAGCAGCCGCGGUAAUACGGAGGGGGCUAGCGUUGUUCGGAAUUAUUGGGCGUAAAGGGCACGCAGGCGGUUUGGCAAGUCGAAAGUGAAAUCCCUCGGCUCAACCGAGGAACUGCUUUCGAUACUGCCGGACUUGAGUCCCGGAGAGGGUAGCGGAAUUCCCAGUGUAGCGGUGAAAUGCGUAGAUACUGGGAGGAACACCUGUGGCGAAGGCGGCUGCCUGGACGGGUACUGACGCUGAGGUGCGAAAGCUAGGGGAGCAAACAGGAUUAGAUACCCUGGUAGUCCUAGCUGUAAACGAUGAACACUUGGUGUUGCGGGUAUCGA
This 775-nucleotide ribosomal RNA is filed under the name uncultured bacterium. RNAcentral describes it as "bacterial SSU rRNA". It matches the Rfam family "Bacterial small subunit ribosomal RNA", at positions 83 to 835 of the family's 1533-position model. The record is from RNAcentral.